GUGCUCACUUCAGCAGCACAGAUACUAAAGUUGGAACGAUACAGAGAAAAUCAGAUGGCCCCUGUGCGAGGAUGACAUGCAGGUUCGUGAAAAGAAAGAACUGUUG
Molecule: small nuclear RNA, 106 nt
Filed under: Castor canadensis (American beaver)
Lineage: Eukaryota; Metazoa; Chordata; Mammalia; Rodentia; Castoridae
Source: RNAcentral